Non-coding RNA from Microcebus murinus (gray mouse lemur), 1980 nucleotides. Lineage: Eukaryota; Metazoa; Chordata; Mammalia; Primates; Cheirogaleidae. The record is from RefSeq and is a predicted model, not a curated record.
GCCCUCGCCUCAGAGCACGCCUGGACUUCGCCUCAGAGCACAUCCGGGACCUCACCUCAGAGCGCACCUGGACUUCACCUCAGCGCACAUCUGGGCCCUUAGAGCGCACCUGGACUUCACCUCAGAGCACAUCCGGGGCCUCACCUUAGAGCGCAUUGGGGCCCUCAGAGCGCACCUGGACUUUACCUCAGACCACAUCCGGGACCUCAGAGCACACCUGGGACCUCAGAGCACACCUGGACUUCACCUCAGAGCACACCUGGACUUCACCUCAGAGCACAUCUGGACUUCACCUCAGAGCACAUCUGGGACCUCAGCUCAGAGCACAUCCAGGCCCUCAGAGCACACCUGGGACCUCAGAGCACACCGGGUCCUCAGAGCUCACUGGGAUCUCGCCUCAGUGCUCACCAGGACCUCAGAGCUCACCGGACCUCAGAGCUCACCUGGGUGUCAGAGCUCACCAAGACCUCGCCUCAGAGCUCGCUGGGACCUCAGAGCGCACCGGGGCCUGGGAGCUCACCGAGCGGCUGCGCUCUGCCUGGCGAAUGCCGGGCGCCAUAAGGCACCCGGGUCCUGCAGAAAGGACUCUGUGACUUAGAGCUUCUUGGGCCUCUAGCCCCAUCUGUGCUGCAAAGCUGAGGACAUCCCAUCGGCCGAUGCGAGUCACACUGCCAAGUGCCCUGUGACUCCUGCCUCACGACAUCGUCAUCGCAGUAACCCCUCGAGGCAGAUGUGUCAUAAUGCCCAUUUCACACAGGUGCACACCUCGGCUCGGGGAGGUUAACCGCCGCCCAGCUUCUCAGCCGGCCAGGGGAGGCUUCAGGGUUAGCCCGUCCCGGCUGACUGCUGAGCCCGGGGUCCACCCUGCACACCGAGCCCGCCCAAAGUUUGUGUCAACAUGUGUGGUGCCAACGUGACUGUCCCCAGGGCCAGCGUGGCCUCCGUGGCCUUGAUUACGACCUUUCCAUGCUGCCUUGCUUGGUCCACAACAGGCUCCCGGCGAAUAUUUACGGAUGACAAUUCAGUAAGCGGCAGGUGAGAAAACAUUCUUGUUAGUGACGUAAACAGACAAGGGCCGGUCACCGUGGCUUAGGCCAGAGGUGCUCUGUGGGACUCACCGUCCAGCUGACCACCUCCCUGGACGCUGGCUCCACGCCCCACGGGACCUGCUGCAGCCGUGGGACCGGCGUGGGGACCCGGCCCAGGAAUCUGCACUGAACGAACGCAGUCCCCAGCAACUCUGAGACCACUGCCUCUUCAUCGUCAUCCUCCCGGAGGUAGAGGGUGACCGUGUGGCCACUAGGGACGGAAUUACACCCGGUGCGUUUGCAAAAUCAGAGCCUGGGGACCGAGGAGGCACCAGACUUCCAGGAGAGCCUCCAGGUAGAUAUUGGAAAUGGGGCCGCGGGGACCCAUUUGAGGCCGGUUCAUCAGAGCGGGCACCUGCCGAGGGCCUCAUCCACACUGCGGGACCAUGAGUCUGCACAACACACGUGACAAAAAGUCCCAAAUCCCCACGAGCAGGCCAUUCCUGCACGCCCCACUAUGUGCCUUCUUUACUUGAGACUCUGCUUCUGUGGAGCCCACUCCUCCCUGAGAACAGACACUCGGACAAAAAUAAAACAGCACUUCAUCCGAAGGAUGAGCCGUCCUGUGCUGCAAGGUCCACCUGCAGCACUGCCCGCAGCGAGGCCAGCAGGAAGCCACAGAAUUGGAGGAGAAUGAAAGAGACCUGCCAACUACAACAGAGGCUCAGGAAGUUGAAACUGUGUCUCAUCGUAGGACUUGCAGAGGCACCACUAGACCAUCAUCAGUCAAAAGGAGUCUCCCAUCUUAGGAAAAAACCAGCCUGGCGAUCCUAGCCUGCUGCGCUCACCAAACCCUCACGCUCACAACCCUUCUUGCCUAUCCGACUUGCAUUGUCUUCCAAUUUUUUUUUUCUCUGUCUCGCACAUUUUUAUUAAACAGAUUUUCAUGCUA